GAUUAACGCUGGCGGCGUGCAUAACACAUGCAAGUCGAACGAUGAAACUUAAAUGAUUUCUUCGGAAUGAACUUAAGUGGAUUAGUGGCGGACGGGUGAGUAACGCGUGAGUAACCUGCCUUACACAAGGGGGUAGCCGUUGGAAACGACGAAUAAUACCCUAUGAAACUAUCACUUCGCAUGAAGCGAUAGUCAAAGUGUUAGCGGUGUAAGAUGGACUUGCGUCUGAUUAGCUAGUUGGUGAGAAAAAAGCCCACCAAGGCAACGAUCAGUAGCCGGCUGGAGAGAGUGGACGGCCACAUUGGGACUGGGACACGGCCCAGACUCCUACGGGAGGCAGCAGGGGGGAAUUUGGCACAAUGGGGGGAACCCUGAGGCAGCGACGCCGCGUGAUUGAGAAGGCCUUCGGGUUGUAAAAAUCUUUUGUAUAGGAAGAAAAUGACGGUACUAGAAGAAUAAGGUCCGGCUAAUUACGUG
Molecule: ribosomal RNA, 477 nt
Filed under: uncultured bacterium
Lineage: Bacteria
Description: partial 16S ribosomal RNA
Rfam family: Bacterial small subunit ribosomal RNA
Source: RNAcentral